CCUACGGGAGGCAGCAGUGAGGAAUAUUGGUCAAUGGACGCAAGUCUGAACCAGCCAUGCCGCGUGCAGGAAGACGGCUCUAUGAGUUGUAAACUGCUUUUGUACGAGGGUAAACGCAGAUACGCGUAUCUGUCUGAAAGUAUCGUACGAAUAAGGAUCGGCUAACUCCGUGCCAGCAGCCGCGGUAAUACGGAGGAUUCAAGCGUUAUCCGGAUUUAUUGGGUUUAAAGGGUGCGUAGGCGGGCGGAUAAGUUAGAGGUGAAAUCCCGAGGCUCAACUUCGGAAUUGCCUUUGAUACUGGUCGUCUAGAGAGUAGUUGCGGUAGGCGGAAUGUAUGGUGUAGCGGUGAAAUGCUUAGAUAUCAUACAGAACCCCGAUUGCGAAGGCAGCUUACCAAGCUACUUCUGACGUUGAGGCACGAAAGCGUGGGGAGCAAACAGGAUUAGAUACCCGAGUAGUC
This 460-nucleotide ribosomal RNA is filed under the name uncultured bacterium. RNAcentral's name for it is "partial 16S ribosomal RNA". It matches the Rfam family "Bacterial small subunit ribosomal RNA", at positions 338 to 795 of the family's 1533-position model. The record is from RNAcentral.